RNAcentral lists this ribosomal RNA (482 nucleotides) under uncultured bacterium. RNAcentral's name for it is "partial 16S ribosomal RNA". It matches the Rfam family "Bacterial small subunit ribosomal RNA", at positions 899 to 1397 of the family's 1533-position model. The record is from RNAcentral.
ACUCAAAUGAAUAGACGGGGGCCCGCACAAGCAGCGGAGCGUGUGGUUUAAUUCGACGCAACACGCAGAACCUUACCUAGGCUUGACAUGCACCUGCUAGCUGUGGAAACACAGUUCCUUCGAGGGUGGUGCACCGGUGCUGCAUGGCUGUCGUCAGCUCGUGUCGUGAGAUGUUGGGUUAAGUCCCGCAACGAGCGCAACCCUUGCCUCAUGUUACCUGUGUCAUGAGGGACUGCCGGUGCGUUGCACCGGAGGAAGGCGGGGAUGACGUCAAGUCCGCAUGGCCCCUACGCCUAGGGCGACACACACGCUACAAUGGCCGGCGGAAUGCGCAGCGACCUUGUAAAGGGGAGCUAAUCGCGAAGGUCGGUCUCAGUUCAGAUUGAGGGCUGCAACUUGCCCUCAUGAAGGCGGAGUUGCUAGUAACCGCGUGUCAGCAGAGCGCGGUGAAUACGUACCCGGGCCUUGCACACACCGCCCGU